Molecule: ribosomal RNA, 89 nt
Filed under: uncultured bacterium
Lineage: Bacteria
Description: partial 16S ribosomal RNA
Source: RNAcentral
UACACACCGCCCGUCAAGUCAUGGGAGCCGGUAGUGCCCGAAGUCGUCAUAUCUCAUUGAUGCCUACGGCAAGAUCGGUGACUGGGACU